RNAcentral lists this ribosomal RNA (718 nucleotides) under Maribacter sp. MAR_2009_221. RNAcentral's name for it is "bacterial SSU rRNA". It matches the Rfam family "Bacterial small subunit ribosomal RNA", at positions 29 to 736 of the family's 1533-position model. The record is from RNAcentral. Lineage: Bacteria; Pseudomonadati; Bacteroidota; Flavobacteriia; Flavobacteriales; Flavobacteriaceae.
AUGAACGCUAGCGGCAGGCCUAACACAUGCAAGUCGAGGGGCAGCGGGGAAAAGCUUGCUUUUCCGCCGGCGACCGGCGCACGGGUGCGCACCGCGUAUGGAACCUGCCUUGUACAGGGGAAUAGCCCAGGGAAACUUGGAUUAAUGCCCCGUAGUACCGUAUUUCGGCAUCGUUAUACGGUUAAAGCCUUCGGGCGGUACAAGAUGGCCAUGCGUCCCAUUAGCUUGUUGGUAAGGUAACGGCUUACCAAGGCUACGAUGGGUAGGGGCCCUGAGAGGGGGAUCCCCCACACUGGUACUGAGACACGGACCAGACUCCUACGGGAGGCAGCAGUGAGGAAUAUUGGACAAUGGAGGAGACUCUGAUCCAGCCAUGCCGCGUGCAGGAAGAAUGCCCUAUGGGUAGUAAACUGCUUUUAUACGGGAAGAAAAAGAGCUACGUGUAGCUUACUGACGGUACCGUAAGAAUAAGGACCGGCUAACUCCGUGCCAGCAGCCGCGGUAAUACGGAGGGUCCGAGCGUUAUCCGGAAUUAUUGGGUUUAAAGGGUCCGUAGGCGGGCCGAUAAGUCAGGGGUGAAAGUCUGCCGCUCAACGGUAGAACUGCCUUUGAUACUGUCGGUCUUGAGUUAUAGUGAAGUUGCCGGAAUAUGUAGUGUAGCGGUGAAAUGCAUAGAUAUUACAUAGAACACCGAUUGCGAAGGCAGGUGACUAACUAU